AGAAUGAACGCUGGCGGCAUGCCUAAUACAUGCAAGUCGAACGAACACUUCGGUGUUAGUGGCGCACGGGUGCGUAACGCGUGGGAAUCUGCCCUUGGGUUCGGAAUAACAGUUGGAAACGACUGCUAAUACCGGAUGAUAUCGAAAGAUCAAAGAUUUAUCGCCCAGGGAUGAGCCCGCGUAGGAUUAGCUAGUUGGUGAGGUAAAGGCUCACCAAGGCGACGAUCCUUAGCUGGUCUGAGAGGAUGAUCAGCCACACUGGGACUGAGACACGGCCCAGACUCCUACGGGAGGCAGCAGGUAGGGAAUAUUGGACAAUGGGCGCAAGCCUGAUCCAGCAAUGCCGCGUGAGUGAUGAAGGCUUAGGGUUGUAAAGCUCGUUUUACCCGAGAUGAUAAUGACAGUAGUCGGGAAGUAAAGUAACGGCCCCGGACUAACCUCCGGUGCCACGCACGCCGAC
This 460-nucleotide ribosomal RNA is filed under the name uncultured soil bacterium. RNAcentral describes it as "bacterial SSU rRNA". It matches the Rfam family "Bacterial small subunit ribosomal RNA", at positions 26 to 525 of the family's 1533-position model. The record is from RNAcentral.